Lathyrus oleraceus (garden pea) is the source of this 910-nucleotide long non-coding RNA. RefSeq lists it as uncharacterized. The transcript has 2 exons. Lineage: Eukaryota; Viridiplantae; Streptophyta; Magnoliopsida; Fabales; Fabaceae. The record is from RefSeq and is a predicted model, not a curated record.
UCAUAUCAACAUAGUAAUAAAUAUACAGCAAUAAAUAUAUUAAAACGAAAUAUGAAAAGAAACCAAAAUGGCAAUAGUUAUAACCGCAAGAAAACAAAAUUGAGAAACACACACUCUCUCUCUCUCUCUAAUAUUCCAAACGAACUACUCUCUCUCAUGAAUCUCUCCCUCUGUUCUUCUUUCCAAAACCUUCUUUCACUCUGUUUUUUCGAUUUUGAGCCAUACAUAUGAAAACAAACACCAACCGACAUGAAAAAUAUAUCAAACAGUGCUUUUCCCAUUUCUUUAUAGGAAAAAAAAAAGAACUGAUGAACACCGAUUGGUGUUCUUCAACAGAGACCCGUAUUUCUGUCAAACCAAUCCAAACCAACAACCUAUUGAUGCAAACAAUCAUCGCAGAUCUGAAACAAAAAUUGAUUUUUUACCGACAUUCAAAAUUGCUAACAGAUCUGAACAAAUUGAAAAUCCUAGCAUAAAAUCUAAUAUGAUUUAGCAAAAGAAUAUUCAUUAACAUCAAAUUAAUCAUGCCAAUCAACAGAAAUAUGGAGCCUUAGCGUUUGAAAAAAUCUAAAAUAGAAGGGUAAAAGGGGCUCGCCAAAUUUACACUUCUGGCGAGACUUCAGCGGCCAUGCUUACCUCAAUGAUGGAGUGAACUCUUAUUUAUAGAGCAAUGAGGGAAGAGAACUCAACUGGAAAUUUUGGAUAAGAAUGCAAUCAAUUUGUUAGAAAGAUCCUUGAUUUUGUGCAAGUGAGUGGGAUUGAGGAGGAUGUCAAGAAAAUCGUUGAGGAGAUGUUGUAGAUAUUCUAUGAUUUUUGUCCUUUUUCUGAAUUGUAAUUUCUUCUUUACUGAUGUGAAUUUCAACUGAUGUAAAUGACCUAAGCAUAAUCUUACUUAUGUAAUUUGUUGUUA